Molecule: ribosomal RNA, 479 nt
Filed under: uncultured soil bacterium
Lineage: Bacteria
Description: bacterial SSU rRNA
Rfam family: Bacterial small subunit ribosomal RNA
Source: RNAcentral
AGGACGAACGCUGGCGGCGUGCUUAACACAUGCAAGUGGAGCGACGAACCAGGGCUUGCCCUGGGGCAGAGCCGCGAACGGGUGAGUAACACGUGGGUAACCUACCCCGAUGAUUGGGACAACCCGAGGAAACUCGGGCUAAUACCAAAUGUGCCCGCAGUCUGUGGGGACUGCGUGUAAAGAUAGCUUCGGCCUUCGCAUCGGGACGGGCCCGCGGCCCAUUAGCUUGUUGGUGGGUAACGGCCUACCAAGGCGACGAUGGGUAGCUGGUCUGAGAGGACGAUCAGCCACACUGGGACUGAGACACGGCCCAGACUCCUACGGGAGGCAGCAGUGGGAAUAUGGACAAUGGGGGCAACCCUGAUCCAGCCAUGCCGCGUGAGUGAAGAAGGCCUUCGGGUUGUAAAGCUCUUUUUGGCGGGACGAGUGAUGACGGUACCCGCAGAAUAAGCCCCGGCUAACUUCGUGCCAGCAGCCGC